UUUUAUUAAUAAAAAGAAUUCAGAGAUUCUCACUAGUUCUGGACACAAAGUUGAAGAUCGGUGGAAAAAUUAAUAGAGGCGUAACCCAAUUGUUUUAUUUUGCCUUAUGGGCGUUCGUUUAAAAGCACACUGGUGUGCACUACUGAUUAAAGAUCAGUAACAAGAAAUUUAGUUUUAGAUUGUUUGUUAAGGGUUGCCUCUACGAUUUCUUUCCACCAAGAAAGAAUUUCGGGAGAGUGCUGUGUGUCCAGGGAAACUAGUAAAAGCGUAUCAACUAGUCACAUGAAGAGUUACGCGGUUCCUAGUAGAUGAAAAAGAACAUUACUGUAUGUUUGGAGAAUAACAAUGUACUUACCAAUAAUUGCCCGGCUAACUUUGAAGUAGGCUGAGACCCUUAAUCUCAAGGCCAUGAGAAUUCCCCACGUUGGGCAUUUUAAGGCAAAUAUGGAUUCGCACACCGUCUCCUCUGGCUGAUGUCAGCGAACCCGGAGUUUUGUUGCGAUGGUGGAAAUGGUUAUUGUUUGCCUUCGGGUUGUAGGUUUUCUUUUGGUGGUGUGAAUUGUUCGCUGGGUAUCUGUAUUGUUGUGGGUUAGAAGAUAUCAGGAAAUAUUGAGAUAAUUGAACAAUAUAAUUAAGGGUACUUACCGGAGUUUUGUUAGCGGAGGUCGGGAAUCCAGACUCUGGAGGCCUUAACUGAGGAGUGGUGUCUCGUCGUGUUUAUCUGAACUGUCCCAGGAGUUCUGUUGCUAGUGGUUGUGUUCCUGUCGUUUGGUUUGUUAUUAAUGUGGAUGUUGUGAUUAGUUGGUAUUCCUUGUGAAUUGUGUUGUUUUUGUUGUGGAAAGUAUUCAUUCAUUCUUUGGUGUUUAUUUUGAUGUAAAUUAUUGAUUUUUAUUUCUUUUAAUGUUUCUUGUUUGUAUUGUUUAUAUUUUUUUUAGCUUGUUUAUAUGAUUGUAGUGUUUCGUGUUGUUAAUGUCUAGCUGUCAAAAAAGUUUUUAUUUGCAGACUGGAAAUCAUUAGGUAGGGUUGUAUUUUUUAGUAGUUUUUAGUAUGGUAAAGCUACCAGAUGUAAUGGUCAUGAGGCGAAAUAUUUCCAAAUUAAGAGAAAAUUAAUUUUCUCUCUAGAUUUGGAAAAUGCAAGGCCAUCGGAAAAGUACAUUGACCUUCUUUUAUAUGUUAUUUCGUGUACUUGUGUGUUGUGUAUUUGUUAUGUUAUUAACCGGUAUAUGUUUUUUUAUUAUAGUAUUUGUUUUUUUUUAUUUGUUAUUGCAAUUGAUUUGCACUGAGGACUUAGCGUAGCUUCAAUAUACUUAGAAUAUUUAAUAUUAAAGUGGCAGACGUUUAGUCAAGUUCAUUUUACGAACAAAUUUGAGUUCAGAUUGUGAAUAAUAUUAUUAAAGGAAAAUAAUAUCAAUCUUUUGAUUUUUGUGUUUCUGAAAUUAAACAUACAAUUUGGAAUAGGAAUAUUGAAAAUAUUUCAAGAAAAUUAUUAAACAAAUUUGUGAAGAGUAAAGAUAAACAGUGAUUGGACCAGAACUGAUUCUUGGAACCAUCUUAGAGUCAUCAACGGGUAGUGCAGAACCAAUUUUUAUAAAGUGGCAGCACAACCAAUAUAUUACAAACUGGGUGACCCUAGGUUGGAAAAAGCUUUCAUUGUGCAGAAGUAAAAGCUCUGUACAAGAAGUAAAAGCUCUCUCCAAGAAUUUGUAUUUAGCAAGAGUCUGAACCCAAGAAAAUAAGUCUUAACUGUGGAGGGAACGGAAAUCCCAGUUGGAAAUUUUAGAAGAAAAGGGAGGCAAACGUAUUGUUCUCAGUGGCUGUAGGGAUUAGGUUAAAGUUAGGAAUUACUUUUAGGGGAUCUUGGAAAAUUAUAUUUUAAACCUAUUAGAUUAAGUUUUGAAACUAU
This is a long non-coding RNA of Calliphora vicina (urban bluebottle blowfly), 1903 nucleotides long. RefSeq lists it as uncharacterized. NCBI's taxonomy places the organism in Eukaryota, Metazoa, Arthropoda, Insecta, Diptera, Calliphoridae. The transcript is spliced from 3 exons. The record is from RefSeq and is a predicted model, not a curated record.